GCAAGUAUGGUAAGGGCGGACGGUGGAUCCCUAGGCAGCCGGAGGCGAUGAAGGGCGUGGCCAGCUGCGAUAAGCCCCGGGGAGCCGCUGAGCAGGCGAUGAUCCGGGGAUUCCCGAAUGGGGAAACCCACCGUGCCGUUGAGGCACGGUAUCCAGGGCCGAAAUCCGAGUAAGCCCUGGAGGCGAACCCCGCGAAGUGAAACAUCUCAGUAGCGGGAGGAAAAGAAAUCAACCGAGAUUCCCCUAGUAGCGGCGAGCGAACGGGGAAGAGCCCAAACCUCACGGGCGCAAAAGCCCGCAGGCGUUGUCCGUGGGGGGUAGUGGGACGGCAACGGGGAGGGCUGCGGACCUCCCAGGAAGUUACAAAAGCCUCCUCUAGCCGAACAGCCGGCAAAGUCACUGGAAAGGGCGACCGGAGAGGGUGAUAGUCCCGUAGGCGAAAGGGGAGGCUCUUCCGGGUUGCCGCUCCCAAGUAGCGUCGGACACGGGGAAUCCGGCGCGAAUCUGGGGGGACCACCCUCCAAGGCUAAAUACUCCCGGCUGACCGAUAGUGGACCAGUACCGUGAGGGAAAGGUGAAAAGAACCCCGGGAGGGGAGUGAAAUAGAACGUGAAACCGUCCGCUCACAGUGCAGUGGUAGCCGGGAACUGCCCCCGCAAGGGGGUGGAACCCGGUGGCCGCGUGCCUUUUGCAGUAUGAGCCGGCGAGUCGUGCUCGGUGGCGAGGCUAAGCGGUUCUUCCGCGGAGCCGUAGGGAAACCGAGUCCGAAUAGGGCGACUAGUCACCGGGCGCGGACCCGAAGCCAGGCGAUCUACCCAUGGGCAGGGUGAAGUGCGCGUAACAGCGCACGGAGGCCCGAACCGGUUGGUCGUGCAAAGCCAUCGGAUGACCUGUGGGUAGGGGUGAAAGGCCAAUCGCGCCUGGGAAUAUCUGGCUCUCCCCGAAAUGGCUUUCGGGUCAGCCUCACGUGCAGGCGGCCGGGGGUAGAGCACUGGCUGGGGAAGGGGGGCGAACUCCCGACCCCAAUCAAACUCCGAAUACCGGCCGUCGGUCCGUGGGAGUGAGUCCAUGGGGGAUAACCUCCGUGGACNAGAGGGAAACAACCCAGACCACCAGCUAAGGCCCCAAAAUCCGGGCUAAGUGGGGAAGGCGGUGCAGCCGCCCAGACAGCGGGGAGGUUGGCUUAGAAGCAGCCAUCCUUUAAAGAGUGCGUAACAGCUCACCCGUCAAGCGGCUGCGCGCCGAAAAUGUACCGGGGCUAAGCCCGGUGCCGAAGCUGUGGGCGGGACCGCAAGGUCCUGCGGUAGGGGAGCAUUCCGCACUAGGGUGAAGCCGGGUCGUGAGGCCCGGUGGACGAGGCGGAAGGGAGAAUGCCGGCAUGAGUAGCGAGAGGCGGGUGAGAAUCCCGCCCACCGAAUGCCCAAGGUUUCCUGGGGAAGGCUGAUCCGCCCAGGGUUAGGCGGGACCUAAGCCGAAGCCGAAAGGCGUAGGUGAUGGGCAGCCGGUCAACAUUCCGGCCCCUCCGGGCCCGCGUUAUGAGCGAAGGGGGGACGCCGUUGGACCCUCCCCGCGGGCUUACGGCUAUGCCCGUCUAAGCGUCAAGCCAGAGGGGAUAGGUAAAUCCGUCUCCUCGAAACCGCUCUGUCCCGUCCGCUGAGGACGGGGCGGGGCGAAAAGGCGAGGCGCGAUGGCGAGCCCCGUAAGGGGUGAAGGGGGAACGGUUCAGCGGCCGAGAAAAGCCUCUAGCCAGCUGGCCCGGAGCCCGUACCGCAAACCGACACUGGUGGGCAGGGGGAGUACCCCAAGGUGGGCGAGCUAACCCCGGUCAAGGAACUCGGCAAAAUGGCCCCGUAACUUCGGGAGAAGGGGUGCCCUUGGGGUUGUCGGGGAUGACUCGAUGGCCCUGGGGGCCGCAGAGAAUCGGCUGGGGCGACUGUUUACCAAAAACACAGGUCCCUGCUAACCCGUAAGGGGAUGUAUAGGGGCUGAAACCUGGCCACUGCCGGUAGGUUAAGGGGAGGGGUGCAAGCCCCGAACUGAAGCCCCGGUGAAGGCCGGCCGUAACUAUAACGGUAGGAGCAGGGACGCAGGUCCCUGCGAGGGCCGUUGUAAAAUCCGGCUAUAUGCUGGGACAGCCCGGGUAUCCCAGCCUACCGAGGAGGUGACAAAGGCUUGGGUGGGGCCAAUCAGCAGGAAAGGCUCUCCAAAGCCGAGGCCGCUCGGUGGUUCUUGGCCGGAUUCAUCGAGGGCGAGGGAAGCUUCACCGUAUCCAUCAAGGAACAUCCCACGGCAAAGUUCGGCGUCUACGUGGAUCCCGAAUUCUACAUCUACCAGCACAAAAGCGGGCGGAAGCUCCUGGAGAUGGCGCGGGAAAUUUUCGGCACGGGGAGGAUUUACCCCAAGCCGGGAAAUCCCGAGGUUUUGGUUUUGCCAUCACCAGUCGCCGAAGCCUGCGGGAAAAGGUGCUGCCCUUCAUCGAAAAAUACAUGGUGUAUUCCGCAAAGAAAGAACACCUCGCGAUCUUCAAGGAGAUCGUUCUCGCUCUCGAGGCUAAGGAGCACCAUUCCCCUGAGGGCCUGGCGCGCAUCGUCGAGAAGGCGUAUGCGCUGAAUCCGGCCGGAAGGGGAAGGAGAGGAAACGUCCUCUCCCCGAGGUUUUGGAGAGAAUCCUCAGAGGCCAUACGCCGGACUCCGGGGAAGACCCGGAGAAGAGAUGGUCCAGGCCUCGUGGCGACACGAGGGAACCUGCCUAAGGUAGCGCAAUUCCUUGUCGGGUAAGUUCCGACGCGCAUGAAAGGAACAACGACUCCAGCGCUGUCUUGACCGGGGGCUCGGUGAACUCGAAGCACGGGUGAAGAUGCCCGUGACCCGCGGUGGGACAGAAAGACCCCGUGGAGCUUUACUGCAGCUUGGCGUUUGGGUCCUGACAUCCACUGUAGAGGAUAGGUGGGAGGCUGAGAAGC
This 2962-nucleotide ribosomal RNA is filed under the name Candidatus Acetothermia bacterium. Its description in RNAcentral is "partial 23S ribosomal RNA". It matches the Rfam family "Bacterial large subunit ribosomal RNA", at positions 1 to 2163 of the family's 2925-position model. Lineage: Bacteria; Candidatus Bipolaricaulota. The record is from RNAcentral.